ACCUGAUUCUUCGGAUGAAGGUUUUUGUGACUGAGUGGCGGGCGGGUGAGUAACGCGUGGGUAACCUGCCUCAUACAGGGGGAUAACAGUUAGAAAUGACUGCUAAUACCGCAUAAGACCACAGAGCCGCAUGGCUCGGUGGGAAAAACUCCGGUGGUAUGAGAUGGACCCGCGUCUGAUUAGGUAGUUGGUGGGGUAACGGCCUACCAAGCCAACGAUCAGUAGCCGACCUGAGAGGGUGACCGGCCACAUUGGGACUGAGACACGGCCCAAACUCCUACGGGAGGCAGCAGUGGGGAAUAUUGCACAAUGGGGGAAACCCUGAUGCAGCGACGCCGCGUGAGCGAAGAAGUAUUUCGGUAUGUAAAGCUCUAUCAGCAGGGAAGAAAAUGACGGUACCUGACUAAGAAGCACCGGCUAAAUACGUGCCAGCAGCCGCGGUAAUACGUAUGGUGCAAGCGUUAUCCGGAUUUACUGGGUGUAAAGGGAGCGUAGACGGCUGUGUAAGUCUGAAGUGAAAGCCCGGGGCUCAACCCCGGGACUGCUUUGGAAACUAUGCAGCUAGAGUGUCGGA
RNAcentral lists this ribosomal RNA (574 nucleotides) under uncultured bacterium. RNAcentral describes it as "bacterial SSU rRNA". It matches the Rfam family "Bacterial small subunit ribosomal RNA", at positions 66 to 653 of the family's 1533-position model. The record is from RNAcentral.